CCACAGCUAAGAACAACCCGCUGACCACCAAGCUGGUCCCUGGAAUGUGCUCUUGGCUCCCUCGUGCGCGCACUCUGCUCCGGAAGGACGUCAGGAAGCCCCCUCGGCCUGCUCUUAAGGGACGGAAGCCCUGGAUUUAAGGAGGAAAAGAGGACAUUGACUCAGGAAGCAGGGGACACAACCCAGGAGAGAGGGAGUCGUGGUCCAGGAGCCCCACAGAGAGCCUGUCCCGGGGGGAGCGGAAGACGGAGGCCUGGGAAGGACGUCUCCGGGGGGAACAGGCUGACUCAGCUCCAGGGGGCACCUCCCCAGCAGCCACUGAUGUAAUGGAACACAGAGAG
Molecule: long non-coding RNA, 341 nt
Organism: Suricata suricatta (meerkat)
Lineage: Eukaryota; Metazoa; Chordata; Mammalia; Carnivora; Herpestidae
Exons: 3
Source: RefSeq, a predicted model, not a curated record